Molecule: ribosomal RNA, 301 nt
Filed under: uncultured bacterium
Lineage: Bacteria
Description: partial 16S ribosomal RNA
Rfam family: Bacterial small subunit ribosomal RNA
Source: RNAcentral
CAGCCGCCGCGGGAAUACCGAGGGUGCAAGCGUUAAUCGGAAUUACUGGGCGUAAAGCGUGCGUAGGCGGCUUUUUAAGUCGGAUGUGAAAUCCCUGAGCUUAACUUAGGAAUUGCAUUCGAUACUGGGAAGCUAGAGUAUGGGAGAGGAUGGUAGAAUUCCAGGUGUAGCGGUGAAAUGCGUAGAGAUCUGGAGGAAUACCGAUGGCGAAGGCAGCCAUCUGGCCUAAUACUGACGCUGAGGUACGAAAGCAUGGGGAGCAAACAGGAUUAGAUACCCCGGUAGUCCCUGUCUCUUAUAC